RNAcentral lists this ribosomal RNA (848 nucleotides) under uncultured bacterium. RNAcentral describes it as "bacterial SSU rRNA". It matches the Rfam family "Bacterial small subunit ribosomal RNA", at positions 8 to 812 of the family's 1533-position model. The record is from RNAcentral.
AGAGUUUGAUCCUGGCUCAGGAUGAACGCCGGCGGUGUGCCUAAUACAUGCAAGUCGUACGCACUGGCCCAACUGAUUGAUGGUGCUUGCACCUGAUUGACGUUGGGUCACCAGUGAGUGGCGGACGGGUGAGUAACACGUAGGUAACCUGCCCCGGAGCGGGGGAUAACAUUUGGAAACAGAUGCUAAUACCGCAUAACAACAAAAGCCACAUGGCUUUUGUUUGAAAGAUGGCUUUGGCUAUCACUCUGGGAUGGACCUGCGGUGCAUUAGCUAGUUGGUAAGGUAACGGCUUACCAAGGCGAUGAUGCAUAGCCGAGUUGAGAGACUGAUCGGCCACAAUGGAACUGAGACACGGUCCAUACUCCUACGGGAGGCAGCAGUAGGGAAUCUUCCACAAUGGGCGCAAGCCUGAUGGAGCAACACCGCGUGAGUGAAGAAGGGUUUCGGCUCGUAAAGCUCUGUUGUUGGAGAAGAACGUGCGUGAGAGUAACUGUUCACGCAGUGACGGUAUCCAACCAGAAAGUCACGGCUAACUACGUGCCAGCAGCCGCGGUAAUACGUAGGUGGCAAGCGUUAUCCGGAUUUAUUGGGCGUAAAGCGAGCGCAGGCGGUUGCUUAGGUCUGAUGUGAAAGCCUUCGGCUUAACCGAAGAAGUGCAUCGGAAACCGGGCGACUUGAGUGCAGAAGAGGACAGUGGAACUCCAUGUGUAGCGGUGGAAUGCGUAGAUAUAUGGAAGAACACCAGUGGCGAAGGCGGCUGUCUGGUCUGCAACUGACGCUGAGGCUCGAAAGCAUGGGUAGCGAACAGGAUUAGAUACCCUGGUAGUCCAUGCCGUAAACGAUGA